GGAGAAGUCGCCUAGUUGGUCGAGGGCGCACGACUGGAAAUCGUGUAACCGUCAAAAGCGGUUCGAGGGUUCGAAUCCCUCCUUCUCCGCCA
RNAcentral lists this transfer RNA (92 nucleotides) under Oscillospiraceae bacterium. RNAcentral describes it as "tRNA-Ser". It matches the Rfam family "tRNA". From Rfam's summary of the family: Transfer RNA (tRNA) molecules are approximately 80 nucleotides in length. Their secondary structure includes four short double-helical elements and three loops (D, anti-codon, and T loops). Lineage: Bacteria; Bacillati; Bacillota; Clostridia; Eubacteriales; Oscillospiraceae. The record is from RNAcentral.